GUUCCCUGGCAAGCCCCGAUGAUAGUUUGAGGGUUUAUUACUGAAAAGGGGAGGAUUUAUUUUGAGAGCAGGUAGCAAGGGAGAAUCUCAGGAAAAAAAAAAUGGUGAAAGUCUUCUACUUCUACUUUGGAGCAACAAAAAUGAAUGAAACAGGGGCUGGCACUUCAGCUCAGUGAGUGAAAGCCCUGGCCUGCAGUGCCAGCAUCCCAUGUGAGUUCCACUUCCAAUCUAGCUCCCUGCUAAUGCACCUGGGAAAGCAGUGCAGGAUGCACUUAUGUGAGACACCUGAAAGAAGAUCCUGGCUCCUGGCUUCAGCCUGGCUCAGGCCUGCCUGUUGCAGCCUUUGGGGAGUGAACCAGUGGACAGAAGACCAAUCAAUCAAUCAAUCAAUAUCUCUCUCCUCCCCCAACUCUGCCUUUCAAAUAAAUAAAUUUAUUUAAAAAAAUGAAUGAAACAGAUAUGAGAAAAAAGUCACAGGUAAAGGCUGCAGAAGAUUCCUUUGGGGGCUAAGCUCCUGACUCUGUCAUCCACUGAAUUCCAGGCCUCUCCCUGCCCUUGGACCCUUGAGAUAUUCCUUUUGUGACAUAGUAAAGACUCCUCUUCAGUUUGAACUAAGCUCAAGUGAUUUUUGCUGCUGAAACCAGAAAUCUUUGAUAUGCACACUCUUUAUGAUCUUAGUGACAUUGAUCUUUCCUUUCCCAGUGCUGAAGAAAAAUGAUGUUGCUAUCCCACCUCAGAGAAUAACAUUGCUUGUCUUAUUCAUGCGAGAAGAUGAGGGGGAUACUUAUAAUGCAGCAACAGAAGUGCAACCAACAUGCGGGCAAUCAGUGGAAGAAAGAAGCUCAGUCUUACAUCCUCAGACCGAAACGCACCAAUGCAGUGAGUGUGGGAUUAGACAUCAGACCAGUUAUGACUCUCAGUAAUACCUGGGGCUAAAAUAGGAACACAGGGAAAAGAGCAGAGGCAUCAAAAGUACUUCUCAUGCUGAAUGUUUACAUCAAUCAUUAAUUAUCUGUCAUAAAAUCUCAACUGUGUUCAUCACUCUCUAAUGCUUUCCAAAGUCGUAUUCCUUUUUUCUAGUUUCAUGUUUAUUUUCUCCAGCGGUUGGCUAUAGAGGGGAAGCUAUUCUGCGAUGGGCAGAAGUAAAACUCAAUUUUUUAAAUUUUAAGCAGUUACAUUCAUUAAUGAAAAAUAAAUAUUAGAAAAUAAUCUCA
This 1214-nucleotide long non-coding RNA is filed under the name Oryctolagus cuniculus (rabbit). Its description in RNAcentral is "lncRNA (ENSOCUG00000037048.1)". Lineage: Eukaryota; Metazoa; Chordata; Mammalia; Lagomorpha; Leporidae. The record is from RNAcentral.